UACGUAGGUGGCAAGCGUUGUCCGGAAUUAUUGGGCGUAAAGCGCGCGCAGGCGGCCUUUUAAGUCUGAUGUGAAAGCCCACGGCUCAACCGUGGAAGGUCAUUGAAAACUGAAAGGCUUGAGUACAGAAGAGGAAAGCGGAAUUCCACGUGUAGCGGUGAAAUGCGUAGAGAUGUGGAGGAACACCAGUGGCGAAGGCGGCGAUCUGGGAAGAUACUGACGCUGAGGUGCGAAAGCGUGGGGAGCAAACAGG
RNAcentral lists this ribosomal RNA (253 nucleotides) under uncultured bacterium. RNAcentral's name for it is "partial 16S ribosomal RNA". It matches the Rfam family "Bacterial small subunit ribosomal RNA", at positions 524 to 776 of the family's 1533-position model. The record is from RNAcentral.